Pyrenochaeta sp. MPI-SDFR-AT-0127 is the source of this 98-nucleotide non-coding RNA. Lineage: Eukaryota; Fungi; Ascomycota; Dothideomycetes; Pleosporales; Cucurbitariaceae. The record is from the annotation of a GenBank genome assembly.
GGCUCGGUGGUGUAGUUGGUCCAUCACGUCAGUCUAACACAACAUCGUUACGAUGGUUAGCACACUGAAGGUCCCGAGUUCAAGCCUCGGCUGAGUCA